This 630-nucleotide ribosomal RNA is filed under the name uncultured eukaryote. RNAcentral's name for it is "SSU rRNA". It matches the Rfam family "Eukaryotic small subunit ribosomal RNA", at positions 609 to 1236 of the family's 1831-position model. The record is from RNAcentral.
GUUGUUGCAGUUAAAAAGCUCGUAGUUGGAUCUCAGGCCUGUGACCGGUGGUCCGCCCGAUACGGGUGUGCACUGCCGUGUCCGGUCUACGUCUGGUUUCAAUCUAUAGUGCUCUUAACCGGGUGCUAUAGAAUGCCAGAAAGUUUACUCUGAAAAAAUUAGAGUGCUUAAAGCAAGCCGUUGUGCUUGAAUACUGUUGCAUGGAAUAAUGGAAUAGGACCUCGGAUCUAUUUUGUUGGUUUUCGGAGUCGAGGUAAUGAUUAAGAGGGACAGACGGGGGCAUUCGUAUUGCGCCGUUAGAGGUGAAAUUCUUGGAUCGGCGCAAGACGAACAACUGCGAAAGCAUUUGCCAAGGAUGUUUUCAUUAAUCAAGAACGAAAGUCAGAGGUUCGAAGACGAUCAGAUACCGUCGUAGUUCUGACCAUAAACGAUGCCAACUGGCGAUCUGCCGCAGUCUGGCUUAAAGGACUCGGCAGGCAGCCUCCGGGAAACCUAAGUCUAUGGGUUCCGGGGGAAGUAUGGUUGCAAAGCUGAAACUUAAAGGAAUUGACGGAAGGGCACCACCAGGAGUGGAGCCUGCGGCUUAAUUUGACUCAACACGGGAAAACUCACCCGGCCAGGACACCGUAA